RNAcentral lists this ribosomal RNA (484 nucleotides) under uncultured bacterium. RNAcentral's name for it is "partial 16S ribosomal RNA". It matches the Rfam family "Bacterial small subunit ribosomal RNA", at positions 30 to 507 of the family's 1533-position model. The record is from RNAcentral.
AUUGAACGCUGGCGGCAGGCCUAACACAUGCAAGUCGAGCGGAUGAAGGGAGCUUGCUCCUGGAUUCAGCGGCGGACGGGUGAGUAAUGCCUAGGAAUCUGCCUGGUCGUGGGGGAUAACGUCCGGAAACGGGCGCUAAUACCCCAUCCGUCCUGAGGGAGAAAGUGGGGGAUCUUCGGACCUCAUGCCAACAGAUGAGCCUAGGUCGGAUUAGCUAGUUGGUGGGGUAAAGGCCUACCAAGGCGACGAUCCGUAACUGGUCUGAGAGGAUGGUCAGUCACCCUGGAACUGAGACACGGUCCAGACUCCUACGGGAGGCAGCAGUGGGGACUAUUGGACAAUGGGCGAAAGCCUGAUCCAGCCCUGCCGCGUGUGUGAAGAAGGUCUUCGGAUUCUAAAGCACUUUAAGUUGGGGGGAAGGGCAGUAAGUUAAUACCUUGCUGUUUUGACGUUACCAGCAGAAUAAGCACCGGCUAACUUCGUG